UUUAACAAGCCGACCACCAACACCCAAAAAAGCAAAAACAUAGUGAAGACCUGAAGAAAAAACCUCAGUGCCCUCUGCUUCUCUCACAAUUUCUCCGGCCCCCUGUUAACACAAACAUGAAGUGUUUUGAGACCGGCCAAUCCUUAACCAACGAAACCUUAAGUGUGAAGAAAAAAGGAAAGAAGCCCAGGGCUCCCAGGAAGGAAAGUGAACUGAGAGAUUUGAAGCACAAGAAGCAUACAUGUUCUAAAAGGAGGUUUGAGAAAACGAUGAAGAAGCAGAAAAGUUUGGAAUCAACGAUAGAAGAUCUUAAGAAAGAAAUGAACCACGAGGAGUUGCAGGAAUACCAAGAAAAGCUGGGGCGAUUCGAGCAGAACCUUGCCGAGAUUAGAAUGCAAUUCUCUCUGGCAAAAGAAAUAAAUGAUGACGACCAGAUUUUCUUGAAUUCUAUAAUUGCUCUUUUGUUCCCUUGAAAUGAAGGAGAUGAAGGGAGGAGCAGUGAGGAACUAACUCCAGGAGGUGGGGAUUUUGGGUUGCACAGGGAGAUUCAGCUCAUAUUGAAAAUUGAUGGUUGAUGGGUGCUGAUUUUGCAUUUAAGGGUGGGAUGGCUGUUUGGGGAUUCUGCGGUGGUUUAGUUCUUCAGGCCAAAACCCUCUUAUGAUUAAGUGCUAAGAGUUCCAAACUUGUGGUAAGGAGGAAAUCAAACUUCGGGAGUUCUCCUUUUAUCCAAUUAGAGUAUAUUUAGUUAUCGAACAUCAGUAUCGUGACAUGAUUAUUGUUUUAAGACUUUAUAUGGAGUGUAAACAAUGUUGCUUGUUUGUCAUUUCA
Non-coding RNA from Theobroma cacao (cacao), 828 nucleotides. NCBI's taxonomy places the organism in Eukaryota, Viridiplantae, Streptophyta, Magnoliopsida, Malvales, Malvaceae. The record is from RefSeq and is a predicted model, not a curated record.